AGAUUGAACGCUGGCGGCAUGCCUUACACAUGCAAGUCGAACGGUAACAGGUCUUCGGAUGCUGACGAGUGGCGAACGGGUGAGUAAUACAUCGGAACGUGCCCGAGAGUGGGGGAUAACGGAGCGAAAGCUUUGCUAAUACCGCAUACGAUCUACGGAUGAAAGCAGGGGACCGCAAGGCCUUGCGCUCAUGGAGCGGCCGAUGGCAGAUUAGGUAGUUGGUGGGAUAAAAGCUUACCAAGCCGACGAUCUGUAGCUGGUCUGGAGAGGACGACCAGCCACACUGGGACUGAGACACGGCCCAGACUCCUACGGGAGCAGCAGUGGGAAUUUGGACAAUGGGCGCAAGCCUGAUCCAGCCAUGCCGCGUGCAGGAUGAAGGCCUUCGGUGUAAACUGCUUUUGACGGAACGAAAGACUCUAGGUUAAUACCUGGGUCCAUCGUACGUACCGUAAGAAUAAGCGACCGCUAACUACGUGCCAGCAGACCCG
This 491-nucleotide ribosomal RNA is filed under the name uncultured soil bacterium. RNAcentral describes it as "bacterial SSU rRNA". It matches the Rfam family "Bacterial small subunit ribosomal RNA", at positions 26 to 519 of the family's 1533-position model. The record is from RNAcentral.